This 2050-nucleotide long non-coding RNA is filed under the name Homo sapiens (human). RNAcentral's name for it is "HSALNT0156845". The record is from RNAcentral. Lineage: Eukaryota; Metazoa; Chordata; Mammalia; Primates; Hominidae.
GAGGGCCUGGGGUGCGGCGGCUGGCACAAGCUGGUCUGAGCCAGUCCGAGUGCCCAUCCUGUGGCAGGGUCCAUCUUCAAGGGCUUCCAGGAGCCGGACAUCCACUUCCUCCCAUCAUACAAGUUUGACAUCGGGAAGGACACGUACGACAGCACCUCCAAGCAGAGGACGCCCUCAUACACGGUGAGGCCUGCCCACCGCUGCGGUGCAGAGUGCUUCCAGGGCAGGCAUCUCCCACAGCCGGGAACCGAUGCCUGGCGUCAGGGGUCUGAGCCUGGACGGCCUGGACUUGAAACUCAGCUCUGCACCUUGGCCUUGUGGCAAGUCCCCUUUGGUGGAGAACGGCGCCCUCUCCAUGGGUGUUUUCAAGGCUGGGUGAGCCGGCUGGCACACAGGGCACCAGCCAUGCCCUCGCCUCCGGCCUGCAGAGCCUCUGCCCUCUGCCCGUUGCACCCUCGCUCACCCUCCUGCCAGGCCCAUGGCUGCAUCUCUGGGCAUGUCCCGAUAUCUGGAUAUCUGCUGGAAGCCUCAAGAAGCCACUGAGGCAGGGCAGGGUAGGAGCAGCCGCUGUCCACAGGGUCUCUCCAGCGGCGAGGGACAGGCCCUGGCCCAGCUGGCCACAGACGCCAGGCAACAAAAUGGGCAUGAGUGUCAGGGGUCCCAGAAGGCUUCCUUGUGGGGGGCGCUUGAGAACAGCAGGGAGGUGAGCGGGCCACGCCCCACGGCUCCUCACAAGUAACUGGACCUCCUGCCUCUGCAAUCUUCCCAAAGGACCGCGUCUUGUACAGAAGCCGCCACAAGGGUGACAUCUGUCCUGUGAGCUACUCUUCCUGCCCCGGGAUCAAGACGUCCGACCACCGCCCUGUGUAUGGCCUCUUCCGGGUGAAAGUGAGGCCGGGGCGAGACAAGAAUUAAAAGACGGAUUUCGAAGGAGAUUCAGAGGCAGCAAGCACUACAGAGUCAGAACUCCAGCACCAUCUGCUCCGUUUCUUGAAGUUUGCUGAACGAGGACUCACAGCUGCAACGUGGGGUGAUUGUAUUGAUCAAAACCCACUGGGAAGGACAAAGAGUUUGCCGCCUUUCGGGGAUCCGAGGGACUGUGGCGACCGUGCCUCUGUGCCAGCGUCCCAGGAAGGAAGCCAACCCUGAGCGAGCCUGUCCUCUGUGGCAGGUCCACACGGUGUGGGUGGGCAGGGCUUGGACCCCCGUCUCCAUGGCAGGUCCAUACAGCAUGGGUGGCAGGGUUUGGACCCGCCCAGCAGCACCACGGACCCCAGCCACUCUCGGGGGCAGACGUCAGAAUCCGUUCCUGAGCAGCUCCUGUGCCCUGGGGGCAGUCACAGAGCCCCCCAACACCCCCGUGCUCUGCACCAGCCUCUCCCUCCACACCCGAAGCAGGCGUCCAUCUGUGUCCUCCUGGCAGCCCCUCAAACACACACCACCCCAUGUCACACGGGUAUCCAGAGCAAGGCUGGAUCUGGGCUAGGUGACCCCUGGGGCCUCAGACCUCUGAGUGGGCCCCAGAGCCCAGCUGAGGAAGCCACACAGCCUCCAGGACGUGGCACGGUUCCCCUCCACUUGGCUGCAAGUCGCCUGCCAUGGGGCGAGGAGGCCUGCACCCCAGUAUAAGGGCCUCCCCAGCUGAGUAAGAAGCUGCUUCCCCUCCUCUCAUAGGCCAAGCCUAUUGUGUGAAACCAUCUCAUGGUCUUGGUGACGUAGACCAUUUUUGAAACCGUCUCAUGGUCUUGGUGACGUAGACCGUUUGCUUCUUUAACUCCAGCCGCGGAAUGACAUUAGUGGAACCGGGCUAGGGAACUGCUGGAAGUUCAGGAUGCCACCACCUUGAACACCUAGGCCAGGGAUCCCCACCAUGUCCCGGGUUUCUUUCUUCGAGAGUAUAGAACCGUUCAUUCUUGCUUUGUGUCCCAUUCCAUCUCUUGAAAAAAUGUAGUCUUUGAAUGUGUGAAAAUCUAGGGACAUUCAAUCUAGUCUUUUAAAUUAUUUUUCCAUAUUUAUAUUUUUAAAUAAAUGCAUAUAUUGAGUCUUAAAA